RNAcentral lists this small nucleolar RNA (59 nucleotides) under Carlito syrichta (Philippine tarsier). RNAcentral describes it as "Small nucleolar RNA SNORD75 (ENSTSYG00000024412.2)". Lineage: Eukaryota; Metazoa; Chordata; Mammalia; Primates; Tarsiidae. The record is from RNAcentral.
UGUAUGGGGGGGAAAUAGGGACAGAAGGGAUUUCUGAAAGGCUUAUUUAAUUAUCUACA